UGGGGAAUAUUGCACAAUGGGGGAAACCCUGAUGCAGCGACGCCGCGUGGAGGAAGAAGGUCUUCGGAUUGUAAACUCCUGUUGUUGAGGAAGAUAAUGACGGUACUCAACAAGGAAGUGACGGCUAACUACGUGCCAGCAGCCGCGGUAAAACGUAGGUCACAAGCGUUGUCCGGAAUUACUGGGUGUAAAGGGAGCGCAGGCGGGAAGACAAGUUGGAAGUGAAAUCCAUGGGCUCAACCCAUGAACUGCUUUCAAAACUGUUUUUCUUGAGUAGUGCAGAGGUAGGCGGAAUUCCCGGUGUAGCGGUGGAAUGCGUAGAUAUCGGGAGGAACACCAGUGGCGAAGGCGGCCUACUGGGCACCAACUGACGCUGAGGCUCGAAAGUGUGGGUAGCAAACAGGAUUAGAUACCCUGGUAGUCCACACCGUAAACGAUGAUUACUAGGUGUUGGAGGAUUGACCCCUUCAGUGCCGCAGUUAACACAAUAAGUAAUCCACCUGGGGAGUACGACCGCAAGGUUGAAACUCAAAGGAAUUGACGGGGGCCCGCACAAGCAGUGGAGUAUGUGGUUUAAUUCGACGCAACGCGAAGAACCUUACCAAGUCUUGACAUCCUGCGACGAUGCUGGAAACAGUAUUUUCCUUCGGGACGCAGAGACAGGUGGUGCAUGGUUGUCGUCAGCUCGUGUCGUGAGAUGUUGGGUUAAGUCCCGCAACGAGCGCAACCCUUACUGUCAGUUACUACGCAAGAGGACUCUGGCCAGACUGCCGUUGACAAAACGGAGGAAGGUGGGGAUGACGUCAAAUCAUCAUGCCCUUUAUGACUUGGGCUACACACGUACUACAAUGGCGUUAAACAAAGAGAAGCAAGACCGCGAGGUGGAGCAAAACUCAGAAACAACGUCCCAGUUCGGACUGCAGGCUGCAACUCGCCUGCACGAAGUCGGAAUUGCUAGUAAUCGUGGAUCAGCAUGCCACGGUGAAUACGUUCCC
Molecule: ribosomal RNA, 995 nt
Filed under: uncultured bacterium
Lineage: Bacteria
Description: bacterial SSU rRNA
Rfam family: Bacterial small subunit ribosomal RNA
Source: RNAcentral